UNGGUUGUGGCCUUGAGCCCGUGGCUUUUCGGAGCUAACGCGUUAAGUAGACCGCCUGGGGAGUACGGUNGCAAGAUUAAAACUCAAAUGAAUUGACGGGGGCCCGCACAAGCGGUGGAGCAUGUGGUUUAAUUCGAUGCAACGCGAAGAACCUUACCUACUCUUGACAUCUACAGAAGCCAGCGGAGACGCAGGUGUGCCUUCGGGAACUGUAAGACAGGUGCUGCAUGGCUGUCGUCAGCUCGUGUUGUGAAAUGUUGGGUUAAGUCCCGCAACGAGCGCAACCCUUAUCCUUGUUUGCCAGCACUUCGGGUGGGAACUCCAGGGAGACUGCCGGUGAUAAACCGGAGGAAGGUGGGGACGACGUCAAGUCAUCAUGGCCCUUACGAGUAGGGCUACACACGUGCUACAAUGGCGCAUACAGAGGGCGGCCAACUUGCGAAAGUGAGCGAAUCCCAAAAAGUGCGUCGUAGUCCGGAUUGGAGUCUGCAACUCGACUCCAUGAAGUCGGAAUCGCUAGUAAUCGUGGAUCAGAAUGCCACGGUGAAUACGUUCCCGGGCCUUGUACACACCGCCCGUCACACCAUGGGAGUGGGCUGCAAAAGAAGUGGGUAGUUUAACCUUCGGGAGGACGCUCACCACUUUGUGGUUCAUGACUGGGGUGAAGUCGUAACAAGGUAACCG
This 684-nucleotide ribosomal RNA is filed under the name uncultured bacterium. Its description in RNAcentral is "bacterial SSU rRNA". It matches the Rfam family "Bacterial small subunit ribosomal RNA", at positions 821 to 1502 of the family's 1533-position model. The record is from RNAcentral.